Ipomoea nil (Japanese morning glory) is the source of this 105-nucleotide long non-coding RNA. RefSeq lists it as uncharacterized. The record is from RefSeq and is a predicted model, not a curated record. NCBI's taxonomy places the organism in Eukaryota, Viridiplantae, Streptophyta, Magnoliopsida, Solanales, Convolvulaceae. The transcript is spliced from 4 exons.
ACUUUCCACCCUUUUGGGAUCAGAUAGCCUGAAACAAGGAAAUGCCAGUCAAUAAUUGUGAUAGAUAAGUAAAAAUAAGACUUUUUCAAUAGUGGAGUGGGGUGG